AGCGAACGCUGGCGGCAGGCUCAACACAUGCAAGUCGAACGGGCAUAGCAAUAUGUCAGUGGCAGACGGGUGAGUAACGCGUGGGAACAUACCUCUUGGUUCGGAACAACACAGGGAAACUUGUGCUAAUACCGGAUAAGCCCUUACGGGGAAAGAUUUAUCGCCGAGAGAUUGGCCCGCGUCUGAUUAGCUAGUUGGUAGGGUAAUGGCCUACCAAGGCGACGAUCAGAGCUGGUCUGAGAGGAUGAUCAGCCACAUUGGGACUGAGACACGGCCCAAACUCCUACGGGAGGCAGCAGUGGGGAAUAUUGGACAAUGGGCGCAAGCCUGAUCCAGCCAUGCCGCGUGAGUGAUGAAGGCCCUAGGGUUGUAAAGCUCUUUUACCCGGGAAGAUAAUGACUGUACCGGGAGAAUAAGCCCCGGCUAACUUCGUGCCAGCCGCCGCGGU
Molecule: ribosomal RNA, 448 nt
Filed under: uncultured bacterium
Lineage: Bacteria
Description: bacterial SSU rRNA
Rfam family: Bacterial small subunit ribosomal RNA
Source: RNAcentral